Molecule: transfer RNA, 76 nt
Filed under: Nitrospirota bacterium
Lineage: Bacteria; Pseudomonadati; Nitrospirota
Also listed under: 1 other name
Description: Nitrospirae bacterium tRNA-Ala
Rfam family: tRNA
About the family: Transfer RNA (tRNA) molecules are approximately 80 nucleotides in length.
Source: RNAcentral
GGGGGGCUAGCUCAGCUGGGAGAGCACGACGUUCGCAACGUCGGGGUCGCGGGUUCAAAUCCCGUGCCCUCCACCA